This 942-nucleotide ribosomal RNA is filed under the name Macrobrachium rosenbergii (giant freshwater prawn). Its description in RNAcentral is "SSU rRNA". It matches the Rfam family "Eukaryotic small subunit ribosomal RNA", at positions 412 to 1321 of the family's 1831-position model. The record is from RNAcentral. Lineage: Eukaryota; Metazoa; Arthropoda; Malacostraca; Decapoda; Palaemonidae.
CAUCCAAGGAAGGCAGCAGGCACGCAAAUUACCCAAUCCCAGCUCCGGGGCGUAGUGACGAAAAAUAACAAUGCGGGACUCUUCCGAGUCUGCGUAAUUGGAAUGAGCACACUUUAAAUCCUUUAGCAACAACCAAUUGGAGGGCAAGUCUGGUGCCAGCAGCCGCGGUAAUUCCAGCUCCAAUAGCGUAUAUUAAAGUUGUUGCGGUUAAAAAGCUCGUAGUUGGAGGUCAGUUCCGGACUGGGGUGGGAGGUCACCGCCCGGUGCUUCCCCGUCAGGCUCCGAACAGCUUCCGUGAGUGGAAGCCAAGCCGGUUCUGCCGGGGUGCUCUUUACCGAGUGUCCCGCGCGGCCGGCCAGUUCACCUUGAAUAAAUGAGAGUGCUCAAAGCAGGCUACUCUGGAAUACAAUGCCCGAAUGUUACCUGCAUGGAAUGAUGGAAGAUGAUCUCGGUUCCAUUUUGUUGGUGGUGGGAGCCAGAGGUAAUGAUAAAGAGGGACUGUCGGGGGCAUCCGUACUACGACGCGAGAGGUGAAAUUCAGUGACCGUCGUAGGACGAACAACAGCGAAAGCAUUUGCCAAGAAUGUCUUCGUUGAUCAAGAACGAAAGUUAGAGGAUCGAAGGCGAUCAGAUACCGCCCUAGUUCUAACCCUAAACGAUGCUGACUAGCAAUUCGCCGUCGUUAUUCCCAUGACGUGGCGAGACGCCCCCGGGAAACCUCAAGUCUUUGAGUUCCGGGGGUAGUAUGGUUGCAAAAGUGAAACUUAAAGGAAUUGACGGAAGGGCACCACCAGGAGUGGAGCCUGCGGCUUAAUUUGACUCAACACGGGAAAGCUCACCAGGCCCGGACACCAGAAGGAUUGACAGAUUAAGAGCUCUUUCUCGAUUUGGUGGGUGGUGGUGCAUGGCCGUUCUUAGUUGGUGGAGUGAUUUGUCUGGUUA